UUGGAGGUAGUGACAAUAAAUCACAAUGCGGAACAAUGUUUUGCAAUUGGAUUGAGAACAACGUACAAACCUUAUCGAUAAACAAUUGGAGGGCAAGUCUGGUGCCAGCAGCCGCGGUAAUUCCAGCUCCAAUAGCGUAUAUUAACGUUGUUGCAGUUAAAAAGCUCGUAGUUGAAAUGAAGGGUAGUUGUGUAAUGAAUACAUUCGUGUAUUUUGUUAUUCUACUACCCUCCUUCUAAAUUCGAUAUAUGAGUAUUAAUUUACUUGUAUAUGGUUUUAGACCUUUACUGUGAGAAAAUUAGAGUGUUCAAAGCAGGCAUUUGCUUGAAUAUAUUAGCAUGGAAUAAUCAUGUAUGAUUUUCAUGAUGUAUUUGAUUGGUUUGGUUCAUGAGAAUAAGAUUAAAAGGGACAGUUGGGGGUAUUCAUAUUCAAUAGUCAGAGGUGAAAUUCUCGGAUUUAUGGAAGAUGAACAAGUGCGAAAGCAA
RNAcentral lists this ribosomal RNA (485 nucleotides) under Blastocystis sp. Its description in RNAcentral is "partial small subunit ribosomal RNA". It matches the Rfam family "Eukaryotic small subunit ribosomal RNA", at positions 458 to 954 of the family's 1831-position model. The record is from RNAcentral. Lineage: Eukaryota; Bigyra; Opalinata; Blastocystidae. RNAcentral also lists the same sequence under 1 other name.